UACGGAGGAUCCAAGCGUUAUCCGGAUUUAUUGGGUUUAAAGGGUGCGCAGGCGGAAUGAUAAGUCAGUGGUGAAAUCUUACGGCUCAACUGUAAAACUGCCAUUGAUACUGUCGUUCUUGAGUAUAGUUGAAGUGGGCGGAAUGUGUCAUGUAGCGGUGAAAUGCAUAGAUAUGACACAGAACACCGAUUGCGAAGGCAGCUCACUAAACUGUAACUGACGCUCAUGCACGAAAGCGUGGGGAGCAAACAGGAUUAGAUACCCUGGUAGUCCACGCCGUAAACGAUGAUCACUCGAUGUUGGCGAUACACAGUCAGCGUCUGAGCGAAAGCAUUAAGUGAUCCACCUGGGGAGUACGAUCGCAAGGUUG
Molecule: ribosomal RNA, 370 nt
Filed under: uncultured prokaryote
Description: bacterial SSU rRNA
Rfam family: Bacterial small subunit ribosomal RNA
Source: RNAcentral